AAAGGAAAAAGACUGAAUCUGAAAAUUGAAGACCUUGAAGGUCAAAAAUGUCCUGUUACGUUGUGGGAUUCUUUUGCUGUCGACAUGUUUACUUACAUGAAUGACAAAAAACGCGAGAAAUAUGUUGUUAUCAUUUGCCACUUUGGUACAGUAAAUCUUUACAAGGGAAAGCGUGGAGUGGCCAACAGUUUUGAUCUAAGUAGACUUUUUAUUGAUAACGCUGACAUUGAAGAAAUUUCUUCUUUCAGAGAGAGGUAU
Helianthus annuus (common sunflower) is the source of this 258-nucleotide long non-coding RNA. RefSeq lists it as uncharacterized. The record is from RefSeq and is a predicted model, not a curated record. Lineage: Eukaryota; Viridiplantae; Streptophyta; Magnoliopsida; Asterales; Asteraceae. The transcript is spliced from 3 exons.